Molecule: unclassified non-coding RNA, 139 nt
Filed under: uncultured Mortierella
Lineage: Eukaryota; Fungi; Mortierellomycota; Mortierellomycetes; Mortierellales; Mortierellaceae
Description: sequence contains ITS1
Source: RNAcentral
UUGAAUACCUGGCACUUUUUAAAUCCAUAUCCACCUUGUGUGCAAUGUCAGUCGAUCUUCUUCAUGGAGUUCGACCAAACAUCAACCUAAUCUUUUAACUCUUUGUCUGAAAAAUAUUAUGAAUAAAUAAUUCAAAAUA